CUUUCUAGUCCAACCCAUACAAGCUUAUCAGGCAUGUGAAGAAACACAGCACUAGCAUAUAUUAAAUCAUACAUAACUCCGGCACCAAACUUGGAGAAUUCCAUAUCUUCCCCUCGCACAAUCAGAGGUCGCUUGUAUAGAAGACCCUGCGAAGGAAGCUCAUAUCUUAAUGCAGCCAUCAGAGAGAGCUCGUCCCUUUCAAGACAGUGGUAGUGUUCAGGACUAAGAUACCUAAUGAAAUGCAAACCAACACGGAGUGUGCCACACCCAAUCUCAAGCACUUGUGAGUUGGGUGACAGGUGGGCAGCUUCAGCUAGGAAUUCAAACACAUCUCGUCCACCUGCCCAUGGCUCCCCAUAGUUGCUAUGGUGUCCUUCCACAAGCAGCUCACCAGGGCAAGGAAGUGCAGUAUGAUUAUUGUAUUCUGGCUCUUCAUAGUGUGAUAUGCCCUUGUAAUGAAUCAGAUCUUCGAGUUGCUGAGCCCUAGUUCGAGGAUUAAUGCCCUUACGAAGAACGUUAUCUUGCAUAUGCAAUCCGUUCAAUCGGAUCUGAUCCUUAACCCAUUCGAUAUCCUCUUUCGUCGGCGAUAUUCUUUCCUUAUAAUCUGCUAACCCUCCGCCGCUGCCACCACCUCCGGCAGCGCCAGCAAAGCCUUGUAAAGGAGGAGCAGAGGCCGGACAAUCACAAUAAGAUAGGGAAGAGAUAAGAAAGAACAACAUAAUAGCUGCGACGGAGACCGAGAGCACGAGAACUGGAACUGUUAUGACUACUCCCUUUUGUGUCGGUG
Molecule: unclassified non-coding RNA, 787 nt
Filed under: Hevea brasiliensis (rubber tree)
Lineage: Eukaryota; Viridiplantae; Streptophyta; Magnoliopsida; Malpighiales; Euphorbiaceae
Source: RNAcentral